UGGGGAAUAUUGCACAAUGGGCGAAAGCCUGAUGCAGCGACGCCGCGUGAGGGAUGACGGCCUUCGGGUUGUAAACCUCUUUCAGUAGGGACGAAGCGCAAGUGACGGUACCUGCAGAAGAAGCACCGGCUAACUACGUGCCAGCAGCCGCGGUAAUACGUAGGGUGCGAGCGUUGUCCGGAAUUACUGGGCGUAAAGAGCUCGUAGGCGGUUUGUCACGUCGUCUGUGAAAUCCUAGGGCUUAACACUGGACGUGCAGGCGAUACGGGCUGACUUGAGUACUACAGGGGAGACUGGAAUUUCUGGUGUAGCGGUGGAAUGCACAGAUAUCAGGAAGAACACCGAUGGCGAAGGCAGGUCUCUGGGUAGUAACUGACGCUGAGGAGCGAAAGCAUGGGUAGCGAACAGG
This 409-nucleotide ribosomal RNA is filed under the name bacterium. RNAcentral describes it as "partial 16S ribosomal RNA". It matches the Rfam family "Bacterial small subunit ribosomal RNA", at positions 355 to 776 of the family's 1533-position model. The record is from RNAcentral.